GGAGAGAUGGCUGAGUGGUUGAAAGCGCUCGACUCGAAAUCGAGUAGGCAGGUUAUUCUGUCUCGUGGGUUCAAAUCCCACUCUCUCCGCCA
Molecule: transfer RNA, 92 nt
Filed under: Actinomycetota bacterium
Lineage: Bacteria; Bacillati; Actinomycetota
Description: Actinobacteria bacterium tRNA-Ser
Rfam family: tRNA
About the family: Transfer RNA (tRNA) molecules are approximately 80 nucleotides in length. Their secondary structure includes four short double-helical elements and three loops (D, anti-codon, and T loops). Further hydrogen bonds mediate the characteristic L-shaped molecular structure. tRNAs have two regions of fundamental functional importance: the anti-codon, which is responsible for specific mRNA codon recognition, and the 3' end, to which the tRNAs corresponding amino acid is attached (by aminoacyl-tRNA synthetases). tRNAs cope with the degeneracy of the genetic code in two manners: having more than one tRNA (with a specific anti-codon) for a particular amino acid; and 'wobble' base-pairing, i.e. permitting non-standard base-pairing at the 3rd anti-codon position.
Source: RNAcentral